RNAcentral lists this ribosomal RNA (401 nucleotides) under Hyalomma excavatum. Its description in RNAcentral is "partial large subunit ribosomal RNA". The record is from RNAcentral. Lineage: Eukaryota; Metazoa; Arthropoda; Arachnida; Ixodida; Ixodidae.
UAUUUUGACUAUACAAAGGUAUUGUAAUAAGAUUUUAAUUGAAUGCUAAAAGAAUGGAAAUUUAAAAAAAAACUUUUUUAAAAAUAAAAAUUGAAUUUUUUUUAAUUUGUGCAAAAACAAUUAUUAUUAUUAAAGACAAGAAGACCCUAAGAAUUUAUGAUUUUGUAAUUAAAAGUUUUUUUUAAAAAAUCUUGAUUGGGGCGAUCAAAAAAUAUUAAUAACUUUUUAAAUUUAAAUUGAUCUAUUAUUAAUAAACUAAUGAAUUAAAUACUCUAGGGAUAACAGCGUAAUAAUUUUUGAUAGAUCUUAUUGACAAAAUAGUUUGCGACCUCGAUGUUGGAUUAGGAUUCUUUUUUAAUGAAGAAGUUAAAAAAAGAAGUUUGUUCAACUUUUAAAUUCCU